This is a long non-coding RNA of Lontra canadensis (Northern American river otter), 1075 nucleotides long. RefSeq lists it as uncharacterized. Lineage: Eukaryota; Metazoa; Chordata; Mammalia; Carnivora; Mustelidae. The record is from RefSeq and is a predicted model, not a curated record. The transcript has 4 exons.
CCCGCCCCCGAGCCGCGAGCCGUGCGGAGCCUGGGCCCGGGAAGCCCCCAGCGCCAUACACCCCACCCCCAUUCUAGCGCCCUUCACUCACUUUAGGGGAAUUCCAACCAUGGAGAAAAGGGGUCCUGCCCUUGCCCCUCGUCCCCCUCUUCCUCCCUCCAACAGGGCAGACUCUUCUUCGAUAGGAGACUUGGAAGAAAAGGAGAUGCCAGGCCUUGCGCGUUUGGGGAUCCUCUCUGGACAAGGCCACAGAGUGAAAACACCAGGCUGUGGCAUCCCUCUCUGGCGAUCUGUGGGAUACUGCUGGGGUGUUUUCCUCCCAUCAGCUUGACACUAAGGAGUGCCGUGAGGAGAUCAUAGUUGCUUCAGCCAUGGUCUAUGCAGACCACACUGGGAUGACCUGGGAAUCUGUUUUACACACUUUAGAGCCCUUUGGAUCCCUCCAAUGGACUCUCCCCUGCAUCAAACACAAUCCACUGAGAUCUAGGCUGAGCCCACCUCCGAUUCUGCAGAACCUUGACAAUCCUUGACAGAAGGCUCUUCCAGCCCACCCCUUGGGUCCUCGCCCAGAGCAGUUUCAUCUCUUCCCACCCGGCUACACUCUCCCACCCACCGCAUGGUUCCCUGCCCCUCACCUUCUCGGCUCAGCCCACUCACCCGGCUCUGACCGUCUCAAUGUGUGGGUGCCAGCAUGUACCCUCUUCACAUGAGCUUUGUUGAUUUCAUAACCAUAAAUAGAUAAAAUGUUCUGAAUAUCUCCCUGUGCAAGUAGAUUGGGGGAGUGAUCACAUAAUGAAAAGGCCUUGGGAGAAAGAAAACAGGCUUCGAAGAUGCAGCUGAACAAAAGACAGCCGCUGCUCAGACCAGGUCUACAUAAGGAUUAUGCUUCCACUCCACAGACGGGCAAACUCUAGACCUGGGCCUGGGGAGAUGCUUCAGAAUCUGUUAGAAAACUUUGGUGUGGUUUCAAACCCAAGAACAGUCUGGUAAAAAUGCAAGGAAGUAGGGAUGCUUGGGUGGUUCAGGCAGUUAAGCAUCUGCCUUUGGCUCGGGUCAUGAUCCCAGGGUCCUGGGA